This is a non-coding RNA of Equus caballus (horse), 21029 nucleotides long. The record is from RefSeq and is a predicted model, not a curated record. Lineage: Eukaryota; Metazoa; Chordata; Mammalia; Perissodactyla; Equidae.
AACCAAUGAAACACUGGGCUGCCUGCAGCAGAGUGCGCGAACUUAACCACUCGGCCACGGGGCCGGCCCCCUGAAUAGUUUUCAUUUACCAUGAGUACGUGUGUUUUCUGCAGCGUUUUGAAGCUAUUUAAGGUAGUUAGGUUUGAAAGAAAAUAGAAAAUUCACGUAGAUCUAGUGGAAGAUGAUGAGUUGGGAAUCAGAGAAUUCCUUAUAGAAAAGUGGCAAAAUCUUACCCAAACCCUCAUCGCAAAUAUGAAUCCCCUUUCAACAUCUCCAGCUCCUCCUCCAAAACUUCCAGUGAUAGGGAAGCCCCUGAAAGGCAGGGAAAUGCUUGGAAUUUGGUGAUUCGAGGCCCAGAUUUGAGUUCUAGCCCUGCAAUAUGCCUUCUACUGUGAGACCCUGAGGGAUUAUUUAGCCUCACUAAAUCCCGCGAUCUUCAUUUGUAAAAGAAAUGCAAUAGUGCUGUGCUGAUCGUUCUCCAUCUUCCCUUGUACCUGUCCAUUCUUUACAGUUAUCUCUCCUACUCUGUGCCCUAGAAGGCUGACCCGUUCAGAAAGCAUCUUCCAUGUCCACUUACUUACCAGCAUCCCGUUGAGUUGGGCCAAUGGGAGGCACCAGCAGAAGAUGGAGGAGGGCACAGGAGAGAGAGGGCAGGGUACUUCUUUACUUCUCUGACUGCUCUGGGCUGCUAAUUCUGGCUGCAUCCCUCCCUGUCUACAGCUUCCUGGUCUCUUGUCAACAGCUUUGGCUCUUUCUGGGCCCCUGUACGGUUAGUUCUUCCCUUCCUUCUUCAGGCCUGGGAGUAUUAAGGACUUCCCCUUCCUACUGUUGGGAUCUCUGAGAAUCUCAAUGUCACUUGUUAGUUCCCUUAACUCUGCUCUUGCCUCUCUGUCAACCAUCCCUUUAUUAGAGUGUCUUCAACCACCUGCAUUGGAUUCCAUGUUCUUCCUGUCUGAGCCAAGUACCUGUCCUCCUUCUCUCUCAGAUGUGUGAAGAAGUUCAAAUGCAAUAAUAUAUGAAAGCAUUUUAUAGAUUCUAAGGAGUUAUUCAAAUGUUAGUUUUCAAUUUUACUGCCCAAACUGCCCAUUACUUUCUCAUUUGGCUUUAAUUGUUAUUAUCUUUAGCUUAAGUUUAGCUUGUUCAUAAAUUGCUGUAACGAUGAUCCGUCCACUCAUGUUAAGAAGUAAAUAUAAUCCCUGACAGCUCUUCAAAUCCGUGAAAAUAGUGGCAUUUGCACCUAGGCCUUCUUUUCUCUGAGUUAAUCAGUCUGAAUUGCCUCAAACAUUAUUCAUAUGACUUGGUUAUAAGUUUCCCUCCAUUCUGGUCACUCUUUUGAACACAUUCCAGUUCAAGAUCAUUCCUCUUUCACUGUGAUGUUCAGAACUUAACUUGAUACUACAGAUAUCAUCUCACUUGGCAGUAUUUCAUCUUUUUUGUUUGUUUUCCACUGACCUGUUCUCUUUGUCUUUUCCACCAACCUUUCUCUGCAGCUUUUUCCUUUUUUUUUUUUUUUUUUUUUUUUUUAACUUUGUGUGCUAGGCAGAAUAAUGACUACUUCCCCAAACUGUGACUAUGUUACCUUCCAUGUUCGAAGGACCUUCUAUGUUGGUUAAGGACCUUGUGAUGGGGAGAUUGUCCAGAUGGGCUCAAAGUAAUCACAGUCUUCCUUAAAAGUGGAUGAGGGGGAGCAGAAGAGGAGAUCAGAGUGGUGUGAUGUGAGAGCUCGACUCACUGUCACUGGCUUUGAAGAUGGCAGAAGGGGGCCGUGAGCCAAGGAAUGUGGGAGGCCUCUAGAAGCUGGAAAAGACAAAGAAGUAGGUUCUCCCCUAGAGCAUCCAGAAAGGAAUGUUGGCCUGCUGACACCUUGACUUUAGUCCAAUGAGACCCUUGUCAAACUUUUGAUUACAGAACUGUAAGAUAAUACAUUUUGGUUAUUUUAAGCCACUAAAUUUGUGAUAAUUUGUUAUAGUGCAAGAGAGAAUGAAUACACUUUGUGUGGAACAUUAAUCUCACUUUUCCCUUUCUUUUCAUAAGAUUUGUCUCAUCAUUCCAGGAUGUUGAGAAUAUCCUCAGUCGUGUUUCCCUUACCUAGUGUGUCAGCUUUCAGUGUAAGAUUCUUUCACUCAUAAAUUUGUUCAUCAUGGUAACCAUGUUGCUAACAUAGAUUGGCCAUGUCAGGACCCUGAUAAAAGCCCAAAUGUUUGACAUUUGGUGCUUCUCUCCCAAUUAACACUUAUGUAUAAAUCAGCACCAUUUGUGACCCUACUCAACUGUAUCAUUAUCCAGCUCCUGUUAUUCAUCAAUCUUUUCCAACUAGACUAUCAGGACAGAUGUUAAAUAACCUUUUUUUAGAAAAUCAGAAGCAUACUUAGAUUUACCCAUUUUCCCAUUUACCACUCCAGUAAUUAUAUCAGAAAUUGAUAACAAAGUAGGCUAAUGAGAAAUUCGGAACGCAAUUGGGAAAAUUUUAAAAUCAAAAUCCCAAUCUCAUCAUUAUGACCAUGCUAUAGCCUAAUAAUCCACAUGAAAAGGAAAAAGACGCAUUGUCAUAACUUAAUUGUUCUUUUAUACCUUCUAUUUCAAUGGCUAGAGUGGAUUUGUCUUAAGCCAUUUUUUAUACCUUGCCUCUAUGUGGAAAUGCAGGACUCCUGAAAGGGACAAUCCUUUGGGAGCUUGCAGUAAGAACUCUGUUUAAUAGUGGCCAUCAAGGAAACAAUUAGCUGCCUUGUUAACAGUGUAAUGAGGGUAACCUUUGACUUUGCUGUGCAAUGCUUCCCUUUGGACAUUGGGGAUCUUGUGGUCUCUUCUAAGCCAUCCACACAAACAGGAGCAGUGAGAUUUGCUCUUUCUGCUGGAUCAUUAUUUUCUCCUUGCAAAGAAAGCCUUGUAUUUUCUUCUAGGCACUUGGUUGGAAUGGGAUCCAUAUCACUUUGUCUCAAAUGCUGAAUGGUACUUACUAUGUUAUAUGGAGAGCUAUAAAGUUCUGUUCAUAAUAAAUAGGGGAACUGCUUUUCCAAACCUGUUUCUCAUUUAAUUUAAUUUAAUUCAUAAUAUUCAAAUUGGGUACAUGAUGCUAAUUCAUGUUGAAAAGGUUCUGAGUUUAGAUUACUAAUCCUCAGAAUGUGCCAGGCCAAAGAGGUUUAUGAUAAAAGAUGUAUUCAUCAUUAAAAAGAGUAGAAGAAUUUAAUUUUAGAAUUUAAUUAAAUAUUUAGCAUCUUCAUAGCUACUUCUUGAAAUCCACUAGAGAAAAUCUACUCAAGUCGUGUUUCCAAGAUCCUGACUGAUGAAAAAGUCCUUCCCUUGAAGGUUGGGGGAAAGAUUGUCAUUCUGUUUGGCUGACUCAACUGUAAAGUUACAGGGAACAUCUCAUGCCAUUGAGAAGUGGCCAACAGUAAGGAAUUUGGUGUUUGAAAUGUUUAAUCCAGUUUACAUGCAUUUGCAAAUUCAGGCAAACACAUUAUAGCUUAUAAAAGCCCUCUCCUUUUUUUAAGUUGCUGCCUUCAUUUGGUAACAAUUGAUUACCAUGUGCUAACUAGGAGAAGACACCUGCAAACCAUAUCCUUGUCCUGCAAUUGAUUCUACUUUAACUGUGCUUGUUCAGGUUGCAAAACCAUUAGCUACUUCUUGAUAGUUUUUAUGAUAGGACUUAGCACCUGGUAUUGAGCAAGCACUGAAGAAUACAUCUUCCGUUAAAAGGUUGAUUUAUUAGUUUAUAUGUAAAAGAACACUGGAGGUUAUAAAGGUAACAAAGACCUUAAACAUUAUAUCGAUUUUUUUUUCCCAGAGCUUUUUUCUUCUUGUUGUAUUGCAGGGUAAUAAAAUUUCACUAGACCCAUUGGAUCCAUAAAAUCUGAAGUACAACCACCAACUGAUAGAAAUGAAAUUGUUUGACUAGAGCGAUAAGCAAGGACUCGGCUUUGAACUCUGAGCAGUAUAAGUCUCUUCGUUGGCCCGUGAGGGUGAAUUAUAGCCCACUGUGCACUAAAGGACAAGCACGUAUUUGCAGGAGCUCCCAAUUCAGUAAUCACUGGGUGAUACAGUGACCUUUAUGUGGCCACGGUGGCCUCCAAAGGAGGAUUUUUAGAAAUGGAAAAUCAACACCAUGCGUUUUUAAGAGAACUUGGAUUUUUCCUUAUAUGAAUUAAGUUGUGGAUAUAAGAUAUUUGAUUACGGAGUAGACAGUUGCAUAAGAAAAUAAGUUCUGUUUGCAAAUCUCAAGAUAUAUUGUCUUUAAGACAAUGAGCUUUAAAAAAAAAGAGGAUGCAGAGCUGCAGGCUUAUCAUAGUACACUGUACUAUCUUGUGCCAGACUGGAAUUUUUUGGCCUUCUCCUCUGUGCUAGAUACUGACCUGUACAAACCCUUGGCAUGUGAACCAUUGUUCAUGCUACCUUUGUCUCUCUCUAGCCCCAGUCCUGCCCCUUUCAGCUCCCAGCGCUAUGUCAUUCAGUGUCUGAGGCAUGGCUCCCCCUUAACAGUCAAGCGUAAUAGAGGGACCUCCUGGAAAAGAUCUCUGUGAUGCACCCAGGCAAAGGGAGAUUUCUGAUUUCAAUGGCAGAGGCUUGAGAACAACAUGCAAACCAGGGAAUAGUUGGAGAAGGUCUAUGUUAAAGCCGCCCUGUUGCCAUUCUUGUGGGUUGACAUAGAAGGGAUUAGAAUGGGAGGUUCCCUGGCCAGUUAGCAGUUGUUUAAAUUAAUCUAGAUAACUUCCCUGCAGUCUCAGCAGCUAUAAUUUAAAGGUACCCAUAAGCAGUCUCAUAGCUGAGGGGGCUAGAGUGGGAAGUAAGCUCACAAUGACUCGCUCUUGAUCUGUUUGUGUCAAAAAAAGAGCCAUUCCCCAAGCCACUGAGGCCUUAGAUUAAGGCCAGACCCCAGAAAAGCAGCUUUCUUCCAAAGGUACAUCUUUCAUCCUUUAUUUUUUUGGAGUCUAGAUUCAAAUUGUCUACAUUUUUUUAUCUUUUUUUUAUCUGUUUGUCAAAAACCAAGGUGCACUGAUUGGUCAAUAACCAGAAAUUCGGUUGUUUUUUUGUUCUUUUUUUGUUUUGUUUUAGGUGUUUCAUGUCACUUAUUAAAUGCCUUAUUAACCCCAAACACAAUUUAAAACCAGCUGUGCUAGCAAGGAGGUGUGUCAGAAGUUGUUAAGUUCUGAUUGGUGGGAUCGUCUUGUGGUCUGAUAAAUGUGAUUGCGUGUUGUGCUGGUGCACGUCGGUGCCAGUUGCGAAAGUUGGACUGCUCUUGCAGUGGAUUAAUGUUGUACAGAUUUUAUAUUUUACGUAGUGCCUGAAAGCCUAUGUUCUAAAUGAGUAUCUGACCUGAUUAAUAUCCAGCUUAAUUUUGGAAAUAAAAUGGGCCACAGUCUCAUAUUUCUCCUAAAACAUAUAUGAGUUUAUUUACAUUGUAUGACUGCCAUCCUUGUGUAAGUGAAGUGGGAACAUGUCUACAUUCAGCAGACCAGCGGUGUACAUUUUCAUGUUAGGUUAGGGUGGUGCUGAUGGAGAGCCAAGUCAGGGAACCCAGUCCAGGUCAGCCCUUGCACGGUAGGGUCCCUAAACCUAGGAGGACAAAUGUGAUGCACUUGUGCUGCCCCAUCCCAUUUUAGGGCUUCUGCCAGACAUCACUAAUUGAUUACCGCUUUCUUUAUCAAACCGCAGAAUGUACCUGAAUUCCAGACAGCCACUAUCAGUCACUCACUGCUGUCAUACUAUUAGGAAUCCAACUGCUUUUUGUCACCCUUACCCAGGAAGGUCUCUUUCAUGGCCAUUGGGCAGAGCUGUCUUUGCUGCCAGGAGAAACAGUCAUAGCUGUAAUGUGGACCACAGGAUACAUACCACAUCUGCUAGCCCAGCCACAUUAUCCCAGCAAAACAGUGGGCUAAAUGAUUACCUUGCCACAAAAUGCCCAUUUCCCUUGUGGUUGAGUCAGUGCUAAAUACAUCUGCCUUAGCCCAUAGAAAUGACCUAAAUGCUAUAACAAAGCACAGCCAAACCCCUGCCAGGAGGACCCUUGGAAAUCUAAUCAGCAAGCAGGUAGCACUUAUCUUCCUGACUGAUGUCUAGCCAUGCUUCUAUUUCUGUAUCUGUCUAGAGCUAUACCUAUCUAAACCUUUGUUAUUACUGGUGAUUCCAGGAGGGUGGGAAUAGCCUUUGAAUGGAGUAGAAUUUAGCAUCAAACCAGUGAAAAACACCCUAGGUGUUCCAGGGACCAUGAGCUGUGAGGCUGCACACUCUGGCCUAGAAUACCUGUAGGGCCUGUUGAUUCAUCUCAGAAAUCCCACCUCCUGAUUUUCCCUUAUCUCCUGUUCUCUUCUCACCUAAAUUAAUCUCGAUCUUAUUGAAGGGGGAGAGGAAAUUAACAUGUUCUGACCCUCUGCUGUGUUCAGGAUCUUCACAAUUGUUUCAUCUAAUACAUACAAUGACCCUGAGAUGGGCAUUAUUAGCUCAUUGUUCAGAAGGGACAACUAAGGCUUAUAGAGUUUAUGGCACUUACCCAUGAUCUUCACAUUGUUGCUUGAAUUUAUUAAUGGCAGAGCCAACAUUCAAAUUCAGGUUUGAAAAAAAAAACCAAUAAAGUAUAUUACCUUUUCCCCUUUUAACAACUCAUGAAAAAAUAAUUCUUCACAACGUUUUUCUUUGAAAAUGUCAUCAAAAUCUUCCUUUGGCUCUAAUAAUCCAAAUCUUCAUUCUGGUUUAUGAAAGAUGCAACUUAUUUCAUGGCUUUCUACUAAAGAGUAAAUUUUAGAGAGUUAAAGUAAUUUUCUGGAUGAUGCAAAUAGACCAACUAUGAAAGUUUCUAGGGAAACAUGUCAGUGAUAACAAAUGGCAUUGCUAUGCAGUCUGAUUCGGUGCAAAAUCAUCCUGUUUACAUGGGGCUAUCCCUCGUCUCCCUCCCCCCACCAGCCUCAUCUCUCCCCUUCAUUUUACCUGACCAGUCUCAGAAAAGGUGAGAAUUAGAUGUGUGAAACCUACAUGAUGACCCAAGGCGCUCUUCUUCUGUCUCCAUCUCUCUAAUCCAAAUUAAGCAACAUGGUCUUAACUCAUCCUACAUGUGGGUGGGCUGCCAACAUUUGACCUCAGCAAGACACACUAAGUGGCAGAGGAUACUUGACUGUAAAUAAAACUCCAUUUAGGUAUGACUUUUUAGAAAUUGGCAGAAUCACAUCUCUGAGCUCGAAUGGCAUUUUGAAGCAUUGCUAAUUCCAAGAAUUUUUUUCUCUGUUCAAGUUACUCUGAGUAGUCAUUUUCAUUUGCCUGUCUGUUCACGAUUUUAUGGCAUGUAAGUGACAAGCACUCCCUGUAACACAUCGUGGGAGGGCAUCCACUAAAAGAGAGCUCAAGCUGAAUGACAUUGGAUGUGAAAUGCAACCUUUUUCUGCCAGGCUGUGUGAUAUUUAGCAUGCCUUGACAUAUGCUAAACUACCAAAUUUCGAAACAAUUGGAAAUCCCUUAGGAAUGUUACAUGGAAUAUGUGGGUCAGAAUUCUCUCAUGAUUAGUUAAAAAGUCUAAAACAUUUCCCACAAUUUCAAAUCAAUAUUUUAUGUGAACUCUAUCUGUGGAUUUGACAUAUUGAACCUGACUUUAUAGUCUUAAGUAGUGACUUUACACUAUUGGGAAAGUCAUUUAUGGUAGAUGUUCCUAAUACCUGCUGUCUAUUGAAACCAACUUAUACAUUUUAAUAAUGAGAUAUUGGUAUUUUGAAACAUCUAAAAGUAAAAGAAUUAGUGGUGAUAGGUAAUGGGAUCAUACACACACACACACACACACACACACACAUAUAUAUAUUUUUUUCCCCCCCAAGGAAUUCCAGGCACAUGGCUAUUUGUUGUCUUUCAUAUCCAACAGAUACAUUAGUAAUCCAUUAAUUUUUCUAUAGUGAAUUAUUUUCAAAUCACUUACUGAGGUUUGGGGCCAUGUUCAAAGGGCAUGUAUUUUACUUUCUCUUUUAGAUGAAUAUUUAUUUAUUUUGCUAGCAUUUGAUGGUUAUGUUCUUCUUACUUAUAUACAUAGUUUAAUUGAAAUCUUUGUACAUACAUCAUUAACUCUUAACAACCCCCAGGAAAACAGCAUACCUGUGUUCAGGGAAGCAAGGAAAGAAAGUGGGAAGGAAAGGGAGAAAGAUAUCAAAAUUAUUUUAGUCCUUGCAGCUGUGUGAAAAUUGCUCUUUUCAAAACUUCAGUGACCUCCAUCUUGCCAAAUCUGUAUGUCAUAUCUUUUUGAUUUUUAGCAGCAUUCAAACCAAGUGACUACUGUGCCUUUAUUUAAUCAAUCUUUCCUUCCUACCUCCUCUCCUUCCUCCUGAGACACUAUACCCUCCUAUAUUUUUUGCUAACAUUCCUGGCAUUUCUUCCAAAAUCACUUUCCUGGAGCUUCUUCUGCUUCUGACUUCUAAAGUUUGGAGCCCGGGCUCUUCUCUCUCUAUAUUCAUUCCUUAGCAGUUCUCUUCUAUUUGUUCCUAAAGCUUUAAAUGCCUCCUGUCCACUGAUGACUCUCAAGUUCAUAACUCUAGCCGUGACUUCUCUGAGCUGGAGCAUUUGUGUUUGUGUUUGUGUGUGUGUGUGUGUGUGUGUGUUAUAUAAUAAGCAGCUCAAACUUUAUAUAUUAAACCUGGAUCAUUGGUUUCUAUACUCAAGCCUGCUUCCUCUCAAACUGUUCUGCCCCUAUCAUCCCCAUCUCAGUGCAUGUACCACCAAUUUCCCUGUUCCGUAAGCACCAAACCUACAAGUUAUGCUUGUCUCCCACCUUACAUCCAGUCCAUAUCUAGGUCCUAUAUAUGCUUCCUUGAAAAUAUUCCAAUCUGAUCAUGUUCACCAGUGCUACCAGUGUCAGCCCAUAAAGUACUAUAAGAGCUUCUCACUCGUCUUUCUGCUUCUACUCUUUCUUUAUGGGGUCAGUUCUCCAUAGCUCUUGCCUUAUGUGUCCUAGUUCUCCAGGAGCUGGGACGACCUUUAACAAAUACAAGUGAAAGCAUACCAUGUUUUUGGUCCUAACCCUCCAGAAUAGAAUCCCAGAAUGAAAUCCCAUGAUGAAUCAAUCAAGAUGAGCUAGUUUAUCCUACAGUAACAAAUGAUCUCAGUGGUUUAAAGCAACAGAGUUACCUCAAAAGAUAAACAUAGAAUUAUUGUAUGACCCAACAAUUCCGCUCCUAGGUAUAUACCCCAAAGAACUGAAAACAGGCACUCAAACAAGCCACAUAUCUUAAUGCCCCAAAGUGUUUCUCCCUUACUUCUAAGCAAAAUCAUUUUUUUCCUUUUCUUUCUAAAACAAAUUCCUUAUUAAACAGUAGAAGGUAAACUUGCUUUCUUUUUUAAAAAAUCUUCUGAGAUAAAAACUCUUUCUGAACAAAAUUACUCUUCUGAUUUUACAUUUGUCAGUGUUUUAUGUAAUAAAAAGAGCUAACAUUUUUUAGGUGCUAUUUAUGUGUCAGAGAAAGGGUUGAGCGUAAUCAAAUUUAUGCUCUUAAUAGCCCUUGGAGACAGGUGUGUGAUUAUCCUUAUUUUACUGCUGAUGAAGUAGGCCCAGGGAGGUUAAGUAGUUUGUCCAUGGUCACACCAUCUAUUAAGUGACAGAACCGGUUGGAGUUCAGACUCUUGACUCAGGGACCAAAUCUAAUGACUACAUUAUACUGGCUUCCCUUGUAUACCGCCAACAAAUGCAAAAUCCAUUUUCAGCCACUAAAUUAACAAAAAAAUCUGAUGUGAACAAGAAGGGCACACAUUUAUUAGGCAACUGGCCAUGGGUGGAACUCAAUAUUUUGGGGGGCAAACAAGUGAAUCCAACCCUCCCUCAUGCCUAUUUUGUGAGCCCCAUGCUCUAAAAAUUACUCUUGAAAUUCAACGACAGCAAAUUAUAUGCAUUUUUUCUUGAUUAAGCUAAUUCACUAAGCACUUUGCAUAAGAAAGUGGCUAAAGAGAGGACUGUCCUUCCAUCCACUCCAAUUCAAUAAAGCCGUCAAAAGGAAGAGGUCAAAAACAAAUGGCAGAUUUUUUUCAUCCUCCUUUUCAAAUCCUAAUUCCAGACAGAAAUCAUUCCAAAUAAAAUGAGAGAGGACUGUCAGCAAGUUACCUGGAGGUGGAAGCUGAAGGGGCCCUCCUAGAGGCGGGUGAAGGUCCUUUCGGUGGUUCUCGGGCUUAGGAGCCUUAGCACUGUGAUCCAGGACUUGCUGAGCUCUCAGAAACCCACCUCUGAGUGCUGUCUCUCACCCUCUCUGCCUUCCUUUUGGUUGUAUUUUCUUUAACUCUUUGCCAGCGAUUAUUGAAAGUACAGUAUUCAUCUCUGUGUAUAAUCGGCUAAAAUGGGACAACUUUUCAAGUUUUAUAAUUCAGUGCAAGAUAUUGUCUGGCUUUAUAGAUUCUAAGAUUAUACACCAUGCCAAAAGUGUGGUUUUAUUGACAAAUGAGUGCAUUUAUCUGUCAUGAGCAAGAAUUAGCUUCAGAGUAUGUGGAAAUAACUUACUAAAUGGUAUAUGAUUUGAAAGAGGCUAAAGCACAAUCUCACCACCUGUGAAAGUGCUGACGUUCUGUUACUUUAUUUGGGGUUGUGAAAGGGUUGGGUUUCUAUAGUAGAUAGGUACCUAUUCCUCGGUGGAGCAAGAGUUUAGGUCCUCCUGAACUAAGUUCUUUCUUGGAGCAUCGUGAAUGAAGAGCUUCUGAGAAGAACAGUUUAUAGAAAGAGAGUUCAGAUGGGAAACGGGGUGGCAGGCAGUGGGAGGAGGGCGGCGAUGGAAGGCAAGAGGAAGUCUCCCCCAAGGAUCAACUUGCUUCGCAAGCAUGCCAACAUUUGCUAGAUCCUGGGUGCGUUUCCACUCCACUGAUGGAAGGCUGCUUGAGACUUCUCUCUUUUCAAAAAUGCCUUGAGGAAGAAAUUCAGUCUAUGCUUAUUGUAUUCAAAUGAUUGCCAUUCUUCUGGAACAUAAUUCCAAAUAUUCCUGGUCUUCUAGGGUCCCUUUUUGAGUCCCUUAUUUAGUCAAUAAGCUCUCAGCCUCUUAAUCUCCUCUGCUAUGCACUGAAUGACCAGAGUGGCCGUUGCUGCCACCUACAGAGCUGCAUGUUUUGCCCCUUAUGGAGAAAAAGAAAAUUGUGUCCAAGCUGAUUCCAGGAUUCACAGCAUCUAUGUUAAGUGUAUUACCACCUUCCAUUUGCAACUGACAGGAUUACCCUAGGAAUUCUAUUUUGUCAGGUAUUAGAUACAAUAUUAAUAGGUGGCAGGCCAUACCAGAGGACUGAGGGCUCCACUAAAUUACUGUGAGGGAAGCAAUUUGACAUCCUUUCAUCUUUUGAUGGGAGCUAACUGUGAAAUCUAGGUGUAAACAUCUAAAAGAAUGGAAAGUCACACAUGGAGGGGGAGACCUGGGGGGCUGGCAGGAAUCACUACUCAGAGAGGGCAAAGACUGAGGUGGUAUUGCAAUUUAACGAGAUUAUUUCUUUCCAAGAUUAAUGCAUCUGUGGAACUACUUGGCCUUAUUCCUGGAUCCUAUCAAUUUACCAAGGACAUUUACACAAAUGGCUUUUGUAGUCUUACUGAUAUUGGGGCUGGUGACACUGGCCCAAGAAUUCAAUUUCUUCUAUUUGCGAAGAUGCACAGUGCUGGGGAGCUUAGGCAGCCCCACUUUGGGUUCCUUAACCCAUUAUUAUCUGUUGCUUUAAGACUGACUAAUAAGGAUGACACACAUGACUUCUACUCCUCUAUGCCUUUGUUCAGUGUUUCUUAUAAACUCAAAAGCAAAUGCAAGGACAUGAUCAGAUAUCUCCUCCUCUGACCUUCCACUCAAAAAUAUACUUUCUUUAGCCUCAUCUUUUCUCCCUUCCUCAAGACACACAUGUAAAAUAGUAUCAUCAUUAACAUCAUCAUAUUUCUCUAUAUUGUUUGUUAAUUUUUUUACAGAUAUAUCUUAUUUCCUAGAUUAAAUGGCAUUUUUCUCAAGAGUGAAUCUUUGUCAUCUCUGCAAUACCUAGAAAAACAACGUUAAUAGUAACUAGUUAAUUGCAUGCUUACGCUAAGGUAGGUGCUGUGUUAAGUACUUCAUUUAUUCCUUUUAACCCCUCUUGAAUUUGAUAUUACUGUUUUCUCUCCUUUUUAGAUGUGAGAAAAGGGGCUUUAGUAUAGAUUGCCCUAAAUCACACCAAAGGAAACUCAAAGGAGUUUGAAGUUGGGUUUGUCUUCCUGAAGAACCACACUGUACUUCUCCCUUAGUAGAUAUGUGCUCUGGAACAAACUUCCUCAAGCUUUGUGGCUUAAAACAACCACCCUUUUAUUUCUUUGCCCACAGUUCUUCAGGGUGGAUACGGCUUGGCGGGGACAGAUCAUCUGUUUGUUAGCUGGGGCAGCUCUACUGGGUACAGAGGUCCUGUCCAAGGUAGCCUUGCCUCCGUGGCUGGCAAGGUGGUUGUGGCUGCUGGCUUAGUUCUCAGCUGGGGCUGUUGGUUGGGGGCCUCAGUGCCCCUCCACAUGGCCUCUCUUUAGGGUGAGGUUGGGCUUCUCACAGCAUAAAGGCAGGAGAUGCUAGGACUUCUUAAGGCGUAGGCUCCAAACUGGCUCAGAAAGACUUCCAAAGCAUUCUUUGGUUAAAACAGGUGACAAGGCUGGCCAGAUGCAAGGGAGGAGACCACACAGAGCAUGAAUAUAGUAGUCCCCCCUUACCUGCAGUUUCACUUUCUGCAUUUUCAGUUAUCCAUGGUCCACCAUAGUCUGAAAAUACUAAAUGGAAAAUUCUAGAAAUAAACAGUUCAUAAGUUUUAACUUGCCCACUCUUCUGAGUAGAGUGAUGAAAUCUUGCUUCGUCCCGCUUGGUCCUGCCCAGGACCUGCAUCAUUCCUUUGUCCAGUGUAUCUGCAGAGUAUACAAUACCCGCCCAUUAGUCACGUAAGCCCUCUUGGUUAUCAGAUCGACUGUCAUGGUAUCAUGGUGCUUGUGUUUAAGUAACUCUUAUUUUGCUUAAUAUUGGCCCCAAAGCAUAAGAGUAGUGAUGCUCGAAAUUCAGAUAUGCCAAAGAGAAGCCAUGAAGUACUUCCUUUAAGUGAAAAGGUGAAAGUUCUCAACUUAAUGAGGAAAGAUAAAAAUCAUAUGCUGAGGUUGCUAAAAUCUACAGUAAGAAUGAAUCUUCUAUCCAAGAAAUUGUGGUGGAGAAAAAACAAUUCAUGCUAGUUUUGCUGUCACACCUCAGAUUUAAAUGUAUGGGAAAGCACAUGGUCUAUAUAGGGUUCAGUACUAUCCACAGCUUCAGGCAUCCACUGGGGGUCUUGGAACAUAUCCCCACGGAUAAAGGGGACUACUGUAAUGUCAAGCAUGGUUCCCAGUAAUGGUUCAAAGUUAACAGUCUACCACACGAAGAUACCAAAACAGUUUUUCAUUAUAUUUCGAUAUCAUCAAAGAAUCCAUGAAGUAUAAAUUUUAUUACUGUAUCCAGGACUAUAAUGCAGACAGAGAAGAUAACAGCUUCUGCUUCUGCUCAGUAGCACCUGGUACCCCAGAAGUUCACACAGAAACCAAAAUAAAGACAAAGCCAAUCCAAUUGACAAGGCAGAGUGAUGCUUUAAACAUACCACACACAAGGUGACUUGGCGUGCUCAUUCUGUGAGUGUUUUUAAUAGCAACAGUGACCAGAGUAUGCUCCAUCCUAAUUGCUGGGACGCAUGCCCCUUUAUUUUAGACACUUUAAUUUGCAUGCCUUUCACAGGAUAGGGAAACAGUACUCAAAUACGUACUCAUCCUUACCUCUAGGUGUAAGUGAAGAAAUAAAAAUUGGAUAUGCUGGUGUCAGGUUACACGUGGAACAAGGGCUGGGGGUGUCUGGAUUAAUGUGCUAAUUUAUUCCAAGAGCAGCAAUAAAGAGUCAUGUAACUUUUGAUUACAUCCUGGGUGUCCAUUUAGGGAAGUGGAUCUUCAGGUUUUGUUUCCAAAAUAGAUUGCGUAUUUUCAGUGCUCAUUGAAAGAAACAAGGGAGAGGGGGUGAGAGGGUGCUCUGGCAGCCCUCAUUAUUUAUAGUUGGCGAUAUUGUUAGUGUUCACCCCACGGAGCACUGAAUCGCAUCUAAGCCCGUAAUUUCCAUAUCUUUGGAAAGCUUUUAGCUCCUCGCUGCCUGUUGGCAUGGCAACAUGACAAGAGUUAUGAUGUCAAAACCACAUGAACUCAAGAUUGAUCUAAAAUUAUUUGGGAAACUUGCCCAUUUCAAAUUUCCAUUGAGAGAGAGGGAAAGAAAGGCCACGUGGCAGCUUCAUUCAAAGAGAAAAAAAAAUCUUUUUUUUCUCAAUUGCCCUGAAAUAAAUUCUCUAUUUUCCUUUCCAUGUAAUGCUAAAAAGAUUACUGUCCUUCUGAUGUUUUUGUCAUUUUCUUUCAAAUUCAGAUAUUUUAAUCUCCUUUUCUCUUUUUAUUUUUUUUUCCUGUUCUGAUUGAAAUCAGUGGUUGAUGCUAGCCUUCUUUUUAGGCUACACAUGAAAGCAGGGCAGGCCUGCAGGCUGAUGGAUGUCCUCUGCAAUUGGCAGGUGUCUCCUGAAGUGAGGGUGGCCUUGAAGAAACGUUGAGAGUUGGCAGAGAUGUCAGGAGAUACCAAGAGCUACUAUCUUUUGAGUAUUUGCUGGCCACAGGUGUUAUUUGCUGCAUGUAGAGGAAUAAACUGAAGGGUCACACUGAUGAAGUAAGUUACUUGAGACCAGACAUUGAGAAAGUGGCUGAACAGAGAUUCAUUGAAAGAAAUACCUGAGCUUAUUAACAAGAGGAAUAUGAUGUCCUCAGGUGUAAAUAAGUGAAAAACGUAUGUAUAAAACUGUGUUGCCUUGGGAAAUUUAUUUAACCUGGUUUCUUUAUCAUAGCCUCAGUUUACCAACUUGGAAAAUGAGGAUAAUCUUAGGAACCUCCUGAGUUUCUAGUUUAUGUUGAAGAUAAAAUAUGAGAACUCAAGCUAAAGAUAGAGCCCGGUCUUUGCAUGAAGAAGAUAAAGAAAUGCUGAUUGCCCUGUAGAAGUGAAUAGAUUUGUAUGGGAUUCUCAAAGAUUAGAGGGAAGGAGCAACACAUUCUUGUUUCAAGCAUCCCUUUCUCUCUUCCUUAGGAUGCAGAAUUUCACCAUAAUGCUGCACUUUGGCAUAUCUACUUCUGCUACCAAGAUAAUUUCUUGUCUCUAACCAAAUCUUAAACUGACUGCACUGAAAUUAAAUAAAAUUCUCCAUCUUCAACCUUCAACAUUAUUCCUCAGCAGGAUUCAUAGUCAAAGGAGAGUUUGAAGUUGGAGGAAGUUAUUAUUUUUUUCUGUUUAAUGUUAGGUUCACAUUCACAUAUAUUUUUGCACAAAUUUUAAUUGAGUGCCUACUAUGUGUUAGGCACUUUUUUAGGCAAAAGCUGAAAAAAAAUAGACAAAAGUCCCUGGCAUUGGGGAGCUUCUAUUUUUAGUGUGGGAGAUGGAUAAUUAAAAAGUAUAAAUAAGUAAAACAUAUACAAUGUUAUUUAGUAAAAAUGCUAAGGAGAAGAAACUAAUCUGGGAAGGAGUCAACUGAGCACAGGAGGCGUCAGGACUGAGGUUGAGAUUUUAGAUCAGGUAGCUCCAAAAGGUGUAACUGAGGUGACUUGUCAUUCAGGUAUCUGGAGGAAGGAGCAUCAGGCCAAGCAGAGGGAACAGCAGGUGCAAUGGCCCUGAGGCUCAGUGUGUUCAGGAGCAGCAAGGAGACCGAUGAGCUUGGAGUAGAGUGAGUCAGAAGGAGAGUUGUAAGAGAUGUCUUAUUUUCUGUCCUUAUAACACCUUCAGGUGGUAGAGAGCACACACAUUAAUCAUCUGAAACAAAUAAAUAAGUGACUUGCCUAAGGUAACAAAAUGAGUUUGAGUUAGACCCAGACUUGGGACUCCAACCCCAGCAUCAUUCCACUGGAGCCUGAUCUUCAGCUGUUCUUCACAAUUGGAAUCAUUUUGAGUCACAAUAUCACUGUUCACUCUUCAGAUAUAUGAGAGGAAAACAUUCUAAGCCUUUCUCAACUGUGAGCGUGUUUCUGUAAUAAUUCCGUAUAGAUAUAAUGAAUGCCUAUCUCUGUAUAACAAAGAUUUUUCCUUGCUGCUCCUCACUAAGCUAUGAGAAGAAAUUCAGGCCAAUUGAGCAGGAGAUAGAUGGUGGCCGAGUAAGAAUUAGACCACAGACAUCUGUACGCUGGAAUUGAAUCACGAUCGGAUGUGCACAACCUGGUCUCCCAGAGCUCCCCAUCCUCCUUCUUGAGAUGUGAGUAGCUUCUCUCUCCCCACUCAGAGCCUUCGCUUUCUCUGGCUGGCCGCAGAAGUGCAUCCUUCAGGCCUUUUCAUCCGCACAAGUUCAAGAAUUGCUUUGCCAGUGGAUUAACACUUUUAUUUAUUAUUUUGUUAUGUGUUCCAUACAUUUUAGGUUAAGCACUUAUUAACUGCUUUUGUAUCAGGCAUGGUUCCAACAUUGUUACAUUUUAACCUCACUAUGACCCUGAGAAGUAUAUUAUCCCUAGUUCAUAAAUAGUAAAGUUUUGAGAGGUUUAGUAAAUUAUUCCAAAAGACAAAGUAUAGUACAAAUGAGCCAGCUGUUUGCUUGGUGUGGAGAAGAUGUUUACUUGUAGGUGAAGUGUGGCCAUUUCUUCUGCCCCCUGGGUAUAGCAAGGGCAACACAGAGAAGAUCAGCCACACUUGCCCUCUUGAAGGAAGAAGGGCAAAGCCUUAUAGUUUGGUGGCGCGUGAGAUACACUGUGGCUUCCUGCCUUGCACUGUGACCAAAAUGUUUGCGCGUGAGGUACUCGUGGCUUCCUGCCUUGCACUGUGACCAAAAUGUUUCUUAAAUAUGAGACUUGUUCUCAUGGUUCUACACUGAUGCCUACGCUGAUCCACUGUAGAGUUCCAGUUCUUUUUGCCCUGUGGUUUUGACUUUCUAAUGCACAUAGUAGAACGUUUGGCACUUAAAUGCUCUAAAUACAUUUAAAGUGAUAUUUCACAGAAUUUUGUUACUAAAAGGCCAUUAGUGAAUAAUUGGGGAUAACUUUUCCCUAAUUUAUUUGAACCUAUGAUGGUGGUGAGUGACGUGCAUGCAUUCACACACGCACACUCCACUUUUCACUCUUUGAUAUCAGUGAUGGAAUUGUCUUCUAGACCCAGGGGCGAUUUUGCACCCCAAGGGACAUUUAGCAAUGUUUGGAAGCAUUUGGGGUUCUCAAAACUGGGGGGAGGGGUACUACUGGAGUCUAGUGGUUAGAGACUGGGGGUGCUGCUAAACACCCUACAAUGUGUAGGACAGCCCCCCAUGACAAGAAUUGUUCAGCCCCAAAUGUCAGUAGUACUCACCUAGAUUUGUCUAUUUUUUACAUUACCAUAUUUACGAGAAACUUUGAUUUGGAAUCAUUCUAUCCUCACAGAAAGUAUUUUUGUUCUAAUGUCAAAAAAAUUUUUUUUAAACUAUGUGUAUUACCACUAGUGACAAGGCAAACAUAUCAACACUAUUGGGGAAAAAAUGUAGAUUUUUCUCUGUUGGAAACCUGAAAUUUGACCCUCUUAAAAAAUGUUGAAAUCAGUUGUGUUUUCCUAGAUUCUUUUCUUUUCUUUUGUUUUUUCUUUUUGAUUUUCUGCUCUUUUAGACACAGUAAGCUUUGCCCGUCUGCAAUGUGAAAAAUUAUCUCAUCAAAGAGAACUGGAUCCUUCCCAGCCCCGAUUCAGUUUAUCUGCAGGUCUUUCCUGGGUACCUGUUGGGUGCUCAGCCUUGGGGAAGCGCAGUGGGGAGAAGUGGUUAAUUCCUGGAGUCCCCGGGUGAAAUAAUAGUGCAGGGCAUCAGCGGGUGAUUCGGGCCCCACACUGAACAGCACACAGUCUUCUUUGAUUCCUUGUGCCAUGUGAAUAGGUCUUCAUCGAGGUUUGUGUCAGGUAGGGUUUAUACCAUUGAGACUCUUUUUUGUUUUUCUUCUUGAAGAGAAGGAUUGUUUUUGUCGCAGGGAAUUUAUUUGUAUUCAUUUCCUGAUGAUGCUAAGGUGCCUAGACUAUACAUUUUGGCCAUUUAUUUGUCUUGCAUGGAUUUCUUGAGUCCAAGUUACGGGGGAGGAACCCUGCCACAAUUAUCAGGAUAUCCCUGACUUCUGGACAUCUGUGACAUUUCCCAUUUCCUUUGUCGGGAAUUUGUGCUCCGUCAGCGAUUGGAGCCUAGUUCAUCUGUCAUCUCUGACAGUCAGAAGUUUGCAUUUGACCUGUGUUAGGUGGACUGAAUCAUUCUCUGGCAGUAGGUCCUAGACAGUGAUGACUAUCAUCAGGGGACACUACUCCCCAUACCCCAACCAAUAGUUUUGAAUCUCAAGCCAUCCAAAGCCUUAAUAACUAGGUGCCUUUAUCUUUCAGCCCAGCAGCAACAGGCAAUUUGAUACCAGUCUAGUAAGGCUUAAGUGGGAUGUUAGGGGAGACAAGAGAUAGUUUCAAAUCUGGGCAUUUGCUUCCAGGUCUUGCCUGCCCAGUGGAUCACAAGUGCUGGAAGAACCGGCAGGUGCUGCUGAGCGGUUGGACAAAUACCUCUAGAUUUUUCCUACAGAAAAGUGUUAUUAAUUUUGGUGUCACUCAUUCUUCAUCUUUUCUUGGUGCCUCAUAAUCUUCUACUUACAAUAAAAACUAGCAUUUAUUGAGCAGUGCUUGGCACCAUUCUCAAUAAUGUGUCUGUUACCUCGUUUACUACUCCCCAAAGAGGAGUACUCUAUCAUUUUGCUUAUUUGACACCAUGGAGAAACUGAGGCUUAAAGAGGUUAACUAAUUUUCUCAAGGUCAAGAAUUUUGUAAAUGGCAGAGCUCAUCAGUUUGAACCCAGGGAGUCGAUCUCUAGAUUCUUCUUAUUUAUUGAUUAUUGAUUAUUGUAUGUUGCAUCCCUGUGGGUUCUAUCUUAGAUGAAAACAGUGUCCAUAGGAAAACUCUGAUAAGGUGGAUAUGUGGGAUGUGGGAUGUUAGACUGUCAUCACGGUGUCCUGAUACAGGAAUGAACACUUUCCAGUUGCUUGCUUGCUUUAUAGCAACUUAUGUAUUGGAUUAAAUUAGUUAUAGUCAAACUUAAAAUGUUUAGCUGCCUUAUUUCCUAGCAAAACAGAAUGUCAGAAAUGGAAGGGGCCUUUGAAAACAUUUAAUUUUAUUUAUUAAUUUAAUUACAACUACCUAAUUACAGGAGGCUUUUGAAGUGGUUCAAUGAAACUAAAGCAUGACAAGACAAAAAGGAAGUAAGAAAGUCCAGGAAAGGGAAAACAAGUAUUUGAAAAACUAAUUUAAAACCAGAGGUAUCUUGCUUUAAGGCCUUGCAUACUUACAAGUUCCAGACCACAUAUUUAAAUAUCAGUUACUAUCAACUGAUGCAAAGAAGGGAACUGGGCUAGAUGCUGGUCAACAACAUAAAAGCAAACCCCUCUGCUCAGUAGGAACUUAAGUAGGAAAUUGAAGAAGUCAUGUAACUUAACCUGCCUUCAUAUCCUCAACUGCAGCUACAGAUGUUGUAUUGAUGAUGUCUGAGUUCUUCUCCAUCUCUAACCAUCUAGGAUUUAUGCCUCAUUCAAACUUAGUGCACAUUUUCUAAUUUUAGAGGGGAAAAUAUCUGUGUUUUCUUAGAUUUGCAUUUCUUUUUUUUUUUUUUUCUAAUUUCCUGACCUUUUAAAUCUAGUAAGCCCACUUGUUGCUCUAUGAUUGAGAAAAUUAUAUAUUUAUGGCCAUUUGACCCAAUAAAGAAUUCAUGUUACAAAAAAUGUACAAUGAAGUGUCUUCCAUGGAGUAAGAUAAAAUCCUAGUAUUCAUUUAUUAUUACAAACUGAAGAUCUAUCAAAAGUCAGGAUAAAGCAUCUCAAUAUGACAGGGUAAUAAAUAAAACAUUUUUAUUCAGUUUACUCAAACUUAUUUUAUCCACAACUUUUAGAAAUUUAGGUAACACAUAAAGGUAGGUCCCUGUGUCUGAGAAAAUUGAUAACAGCUGUAAAUGUGCAAAAGCAGUUAGAAAGGAUAAGAGAGGUUGUGCUGCAAUAACAACCAACCAAAAUCUUGAUGGAUUAAUAAGAUGUUUAUUUCUCCCUCACAAAAUGUUUUCUGUACAUCCUGAGACUCUCUGGGUAACUUUUUACCAGGCUGAUUCAAUAUGGUGACUCUGUCAUCUCAAAACUAGGCCUCCACACCCACCCUGCAGGAGAGAGGGCCUGGAGAAUCUCACAGGGCAUUUGCAUUUCCUUGAUCCUGAAAUGACAUCAUCAUUUUUACUCGUAUUUAAUAGACCGGAACUGGUCAAUGGCCGCAUCUAAUUUUUUUUUUUGAAUGCCCAGACAAGAAAGGAGAAUAUGGUACUGGUUAGAAUCAGCAAUGCCUACCUCACUGAUAUAAAUAUUUUUUAGCCCCAAAGCCCUGCAGUAGCACAAAUUAGACUUCUAGUGACUCAUUUUCUCUGAAAUUAUAGGAGUUAUUACUGAGAUUUCUGAUAAUUUUUAUCAAUUUUAUAAUUAAACUUUAAAAACUCAUUUGUACUGUCAUUUACAUUUAUAUUUAUAAACCACAUUAUGAUUAUGUAAGCAUCCUUAAAAGUUAUUUUUAAGUUUUUUUUAGGUAAAAUAAAGUUUUAAGAGCAAAGAAGAGUAGUUUGAAGUUGUUUUAUGUGCAUUAUAUGUAUGUUUUGCUAAUUUCUGUAGAUUUAAAUUUUUCACACUGCCUGUUUUAGAAAAAAAUAAGCAAUUAGAAAUUAAUUUAGAAAUAAAGGCUGUAUAAUCUUCAUUUUGUAGUGGUGCUUUGGUAAAUAAGUGAUUACCUUAGAGCUUUAAAUUGCAAUAUAACUCAUUUUCCAUUUUGCUUAUUUUUUACAAAUCAACAAAGAGUCAAUCUUUUUCCUUUUCUAGCCAUCAAAUACUCGGUGCCGUCUUCUUACUGUAUUCUGAAUGGGCUCACUUGUUUUCACUAGUCUUUGCUCGGUAUCAGAAUUUGUAGUUGAUGUGGCUCAUUUAUCAGCCAACUAUGGAGAGAUUCUGAAAGAUGUUUUGUCAUUUUCCACUGUCAAAAUGAUGCAUUCGCUUUUGUCUUACUUGCUUUGAAAGAGCUUGAGUUGCACUUAUUUUGCAGGAUAAA